GCUAAGCCCUAAACAUUGAUAGCUAUUUUACAACGCUAUCCGCCAGAGAACUACAAGUGAAAUACUUGAAACUCAAAGGACUUGACGGUGUCCCAUAUCGACCUAGAGGAGCCUGUCCUAUAAUCGAUACCCCUCGUUCCACCCAACCCCAACUAGCCCCCAAUUCAGCCUAUAUACCGCCGUCGACAGUCUACCCUAUGAAGGUCCAAUAGUAGAUACAACAGCCCCUAACGCUAAUACGACAGGUCAAGGUGUAGCAAAUGCUGGGGAAGAGAUUGGCUACAUUUUUUAUAAUUAAAAAACACGAAAUGCAUUAUGAAACACUGCAUGAAGGUGAAUUUAGUAGUAAAAUAAAUAAGAGUGUUUAUUUUAACAGCGCUCUGGGACGCGUACACACCGCCCGUCACCCUCCUCGAUAUUACACACAACCCUACAUAAAUAGCUUAAACAUUUAACAGAGGAGGU
Molecule: ribosomal RNA, 465 nt
Filed under: Scelarcis perspicillata (Menorca wall lizard)
Lineage: Eukaryota; Metazoa; Chordata; Lepidosauria; Squamata; Lacertidae
Description: partial 12S ribosomal RNA
Source: RNAcentral